RNAcentral lists this ribosomal RNA (254 nucleotides) under uncultured Gardnerella sp. RNAcentral's name for it is "partial 16S ribosomal RNA". It matches the Rfam family "Bacterial small subunit ribosomal RNA", at positions 101 to 354 of the family's 1533-position model. Lineage: Bacteria; Bacillati; Actinomycetota; Actinomycetes; Bifidobacteriales; Bifidobacteriaceae. The record is from RNAcentral.
AACGGGUGAGUAAUGCGUGACCAACCUGCCCCAUGCUCCAGAAUAGCUCUUGGGAACGGGUGGUAAUGCUGGAUGCUCCAACUUGACGCAUGUCUUGUUGGGAAAGUGUUUAGUGGCAUGGGAUGGGGUCGCGUCCUAUCAGCUUGUAGGCGGGGUAAUGGCCCACCUAGGCUUCGACGGGUAGCCGGCCUGAGAGGGCGGACGGCCACAUUGGGACUGAGAUACGGCCCAGACUCCUACGGGAGGCAGCAGAA